RNAcentral lists this unclassified non-coding RNA (326 nucleotides) under soil metagenome. RNAcentral's name for it is "partial contains 5.8S ribosomal RNA, internal transcribed spacer 2, and large subunit ribosomal RNA". The stretch from base 1 to 120 matches the Rfam family "5.8S ribosomal RNA", at positions 35 to 154 of the family's 154-position model. The record is from RNAcentral.
GAUGAAGAACGUAGCGAAAUGCGAUAAGUAAUGUGAAUUGCAGAAUUCAGUGAAUCAUCGAAUCUUUGAACGCACAUUGCGCCCUUUGGUAUUCCGAAGGGCAUGCCUGUUCGAGCGUCAUUUCACCACUCAAGCCUGGCUUGGUAUUGGGCGCCGCGGUCGAUCCGCGCGCCUCAAAGUCUCCGGCUGAGCUGUCCGUCUCUAAGCGUUGUGAUUUCAUUAAUCGCUUCGGAGUGCGGGCGGCCGCGGCCGUUAAAUCUUUCACAAGGUUGACCUCGGAUCAGGUAGGGAUACCCGCUGAACUUAAGCAUAUCAAUAAGGGAGGA